RNAcentral lists this ribosomal RNA (503 nucleotides) under uncultured bacterium. RNAcentral describes it as "partial 16S ribosomal RNA". It matches the Rfam family "Bacterial small subunit ribosomal RNA", at positions 29 to 523 of the family's 1533-position model. The record is from RNAcentral.
AUUGAACGCUGGCGGCAUGCCUUACACAUGCAAGUCGAACGGCAGCACGGGAGCUUGCUCCUGGUGGCGAGUGGCGAACGGGUGAGUAAUACAUCGGAACGUACCCAGUAGUGGGGGAUAACGCACCGCAAGGUGCGCUAAUACCGCAUACGACCUACGGGCGAAAGCGGGGGACCGUAAGGCCUCGCGCUAUCGGAGCGGCCGAUGUCGGAUUAGCUAGUUGGCGGGGUAAUAGCCCACCAAGGCGACGAUCAGUAGCUGGUCUGAGAGGACGAUCAGCCACACUGGGACUGAGAAACGGCCCAGACUCCUACGGGAGGCAGCAGUGGGGAAUUUUGGACAAUGGGGGCAACCCUGAUCCAGCAAUGCCGCGUGUGCGAAGAAGGCCUUCGGGUUGUAAAGCACUUUUGUCAGGGAAGAAAUCUUUCAGGCUAAUACCCUUGGAAGGAUGACGGUACCUGAAGAAUAAGCACCGGCUAACUACGUGCCAGCAGCCGCCGUAA